RNAcentral lists this long non-coding RNA (6520 nucleotides) under Hordeum vulgare. RNAcentral's name for it is "long non-coding RNA (HVUL_LNC005403)". Lineage: Eukaryota; Viridiplantae; Streptophyta; Magnoliopsida; Poales; Poaceae. The record is from RNAcentral.
UGCCGGUGAUGGGGAUGGUGGCCAGGUGGACCAGGAACACGGCGAACCCGAUGGGCAGCGGGGCGAGGAUCUGCCGUCGUUCCACGGGCAAUAAGUAGCCAUGCAUUAAUAACCAAGCACAGCACGGCAGUAAUUAAGGAAAUUCAACAGGGGAAGAAGAGAAGGGCAGUAAUGGUAUUGGUAGGUACUCACGGGAACGUGGGAGUCCCUGGCGUUCCUCUUGGCGUCGGUGGCGGAGAAGACGGUGUAGACGAGGACGAAGGUGCCGAUGAUCUCGGCGCCGAGCCCGGAGCCCUUGGUGUAGCCGGACGCCACCACGUUGGCGCCGCCGCCGUUGCCCAUGUACAGGCCCUGCUGGAACCCCUUGACCACGCCGGCGCCGCAGAUGGCGCCCAGGCACUGCAUGAUGAUGUAGAACACCGCCCUCGUCAGCGACAGCUUCCUCGCCAGGAACAGCCCGAAGGUCACCGCCGGGUUGAUGUGCCCGCCUGCAUCCCAAUCCCAUCCAUCCAUCCAUCCGUUAGCAGUCAGCAAAAACGGAAGAAGAAAAACACAGGAAAAGGCUACAGGAAUCAAGAAAAAACAGUACCAGAGAUGCCGGCGGUGCAGUAGACGAGGGCGAAGAUCAUGCCGCCGAAGGACCAGGCGAUGCCCUGGAUGCCGACGGUGGCGCACUUGGAGGCGGCGCCGCUGUAGCCCAUGACGGUGAGGAUGGUGACGUAGAGGAAGAGGAAGGUGGCCAUGAACUCGGCGAUGCCGGCGCGGUAGAAGGACCACGACUUGAGCUCGCCGGGCUCGAACAGCGGCGCCGGCGGGGGCUCCUUGUAGUCCUUGUCCUCGGACCCCUGCGCCGCCGUGCCGAUGGGCUGCCGCUCCGAGUACUUGUUCGCCCCGAGGCGCACGUCCUCCUCCUUGCCCUCCAUCGCUGCUGCCCUCGCCGGAGGCCGGUGGUCGCUGUCUCGCCUGAGCUGGAACGGAACGAGAUGGGCGGCUUUGGUGUGAGCGUGUGGUGAGGGUAGCACUGGGAGUGAAGAGUCUUAUAGGGGCAAGCGGCGGUUCUGGAAGGAAGGGGUGGAGGACGGCGGGUGACGAGGACGGCGGGUGGUGGCCCGGCGUGACAGCGGGGAGGAGCGGGCUGGCUUGCUGUUUAGCCUGUUUGUUUGUUGCCUAGCUUGCCGCUGCUGCAGCGCCCUUGUUUGCUUGCUUAUCCGCUUGUGUUUAACGUUUGAACAAAUAAAUAUUCCUUUUAAAGCUAAAAACACGAAUGAUUAUUUUUCCAAGCUCGGAGAAUCGGUGCAACUGCUGCGUGAUCAAUCAGUGCCCUGCAAAUUGUAAUUGCUAUUUUGUCAACUAUCUGAGAACAUCAAUUCGGCAUCAGGUAGCCAAAUGCUUCUCAUGUCCACCAUUUUGCAAGACCUUAGAGCACCUCCAACAAGACGACACGCACUAAAAUAACAUUUACAAUGUUGAAAUAACAAUUUUUUUAGGCACAGCAGAACACUGGUUCCAACGGUCACUCCAAAAUAUUACGGGGUUGUUUGGUUCCCAGCCUAAGGUUGUCAUGCCUAACCUUAAUCAUGUCAUAAUACUUUAGGCAUGUGUUUGGUUCAUUACCACACUUAUGGCUUGCCACAUUUUUAUAGAUAUAUGGUCCAUAUGUCAUAGACUCAUUUUUUACCAAAUCUUGCCACACUUGUGGUGUCCAUUUUGUUAGCCACACUUUUUGUGGCAGCCACACUUUGCCUAAGGUUAGUUGUGGUAAAGUUAGUCAUGAACCAAACAGGCCCUACACGCGUGAGCCGUUACUGCAUAGUCGAGUACAAACAACAUUUGACACUCAAACAACAUCAAAAAGAUCAAACACAUAAAAAAUAAAUCAGCAAUAAAUAAUUCAAUUUUAUUUAUAACUCAAACAAAUAGUUUAUUUUCCAAUACAACAAAUAGUUCAACAAUACAACAUUAAACAUACAAAUCACUAGUUUUGUCGGCCAUCCAUGCCCACCACUCCUUCUUUAGAUCUUUCUCAAAAUUAUGAUGCGUUUCGACGCGUCAAAUGAUAUGAUAGGAGGCAACAAAUCAGGCCAUCCUUUCAGCCCUCCGUCGUACUCGCACUAGACGUCCCAAGAGGUCACAUUUGGAGUUGUCUAAAUCUUGCCGACGUUCAUUCUCGAUGAUCAUGUUAUGCAUGAUCACACAAGCGUUCAUGAUGUACCAAAGGAUCUUUUGAUCCCAAAAUCUAGCCGGUCCACUCACGAUAGCAAAUUCGGCUUGCAAAAUCCCAAAAGCUCUCUCCACAUCUUUCCUAAAUGCCGCUUGAGCAUCGUGGAAAUGAAGAUUUUACUUACCUUUCGAUUUUUUCAACGGCGUAACAAAUGUUUGCCACUUUGGAUAGAUGUCAUCCGCAAGAUAGUAGCCAUAGUUGCAUGUAUGGCAAUUUGCUACAAACUGCACACGUGGUUGUUCAUCAUUUGCAAUCCUAUUCAUGAGUGGUGACCGAUUAAGAACGUGAUGUCAUUCAAAGAUCCAUGCAUUUCAAAAAAAGCAUGUCAAAUCCAAGUCUCUUGAUCGGCCACUCCUUCAAGGAUUAUAGUGGAACCCUUUUUUUGGUCGUGAAAUUGUCCGUACCAUGCCUUAUGACAAUUCUUCCAACUCCAAUGCAUGCAAUCUAUUGAGCCAAGCAUACCUGGAAACCCGCGAGCUUUGUUCAUAUCCAAAAGCCUUGCGGCGUCUUCAACAUUGGGAGCUCUGAAAUACUCCAGACCAAACACUUGCACAAUUCCAACUGCAAAGCGCUUGACACAUAUGAUGGCUUGAUUCUCACCCAUGGCCAAACGGUCAUCAACUAGAUUAGCAGGAAUAACAUAUGCCAACAUACGCAAAGCGGUUGUCACCUUUUGAAAGGUGCUAUGCCCGAGUUCUCCAGGGGCAUUCCUCCUUCGUUGAAAAAACAGAUCAUGGCUUGCUAGUUUAUCUGCGAUGCGUUUGAACAACUCGGUGCACAUCCUAAAACGACACCGAAAGUAGGAGUCAGGGUAUACAGGAUUAUCCACAAAAUAGUGCCUCAUCAAUCUGUUGUUGGCAUUGAUCUUAUCCCUCCAAAUUUUCUGACGACCCAUAACCGAACCAACGUGCUUCGACUUUCUAUUGACGUGCAUAGCUAUGAUCAUUGCAAGGUCCUCCUCCACCUGAUAAUCAAAUUAUUCGCCGAAAGAAUCAUAUGAAGAACCCAUCUACAAUAUUGAUUUUAAACUAGUCUAUAAAACUACAAACAACAUGCACCAAAUUCUUCUACAAAAUAUGAAGUUGAAGCAAUACAUACCUUGCAAGCGUUUUGUCAAACACCUUGUGGAGCGACAGUGGGCGACCGAGUGCUGUUCGUCGAAGGAAUGGCGCGCUUGAGGGGCGGCGACGAUGAGAGGAGGUGGAGGAAGGAGCGGCGGCGCGCGGUGAUAGGUCAGGGAAGCUGUUGGAAAUAUGCCCUAGAGGCAAUGAUAAAUAGUUAUAUUAUAUUUCUUGUUUAAAGAUAAUUGUUUAUUAUCCAUGCUAUAAUUGUAUUGAGUGAAAACAUAGAUACAUGUGUGGAUAUAUAGACAAAACAAUGUCCCUAGCAAGCCUCUAGUUGCCUGGCUAGUUAAUCAAAGAUAGUCAAGGUUUUCUGACUAUGAGCAAAGUGUUGUUGCUUGAUAACUGCAUCACAUCAUUAGGAGAAUCAUGUGAUGGACUAGACCCAAACUAUGAACGUAGCAUAUUGAUCGUGUCAUUUUAUUGCUAUUGUUUUUUGCGUGUCAAGUAUUUGUUCCUAUGAGAAUGAGAUCAUAUAACUCACUGGCACCGGAGGAAUACCUUGCGUGCAUCAAACGUCACAACGUAAUUGAGUGACUAUAAAGGUGUUCUACAGGUAUCUCCGAAGGUGUCCUUUGAGUUAGUAUGGAUCAAGACUGGGAUUUGUCACUCCGUGUGACGGAGAGGUAUCUCGGGGCCCACUCGGUAAUACAACAUCACACACAAGCCUUGCAAGCAAUGUGGCUAAGUGUAAGUCACGGGAUCUUGUAUUACGGAACGAGCAAAGAGACUUGCCGGUAACGAGAUUGAAGUAGGUUUGCGGAUACCGACGAUCAAAUCUCGGGCAAGUAACAUACCCAAUGACAAAGGGAAUGACAUACACGAUUAUAUGAAUCAUCCAGGUCCCGCUAUUGGAUAUUGACCGAUGAGUUACUCGGGGCAUGUCUACAUAGUUCUCGAACCCGUAGGGUCUGCACACUUAAGGUUCUAUGAUGUUUUAGUAUAGUUGAGUUAUAUGUGUGGUUACCUAAUGUUGUUCGGAAUCCCGGAUGAGAUCACGGACGUCACGAGGGUUUCCGGAAUGGUCGGGAAACAAAGAUUGAUAUAUAGGAUGACUUCAUUUGGUUACCGGAAGGUUUUCGGGCAUUAUCGGGAUUGUACCGAGAGUGACGAAUGGGUUCCGGAUGUUCACCGGGAGGGGGCAACCCAUCCGGGGAAGCCCAAAGGCCCUAGGGGUGGCGCACCAGCCCUUAGUGGGCUGGUGGGACAACCCAAGAGGGCCUAUGCGCCAAGGAAAGAAAAAAACCAAAAAGAAAAAAAAAGAAAGGUGGGAAGGAAGAGAAGGACUCCACUUUCCAAUCCUAUUUGGACUAGGAUUGGAGUAUGACUCCUCCUCCUCCCUAGCCGGCGCACCCUUGAGGGCUUGGCCCUAAAGGCAAGCCUCCCCCCUCCCUCCUAUAUAUAGUGGUGAUUUAGGGCUGAUUUGAGACAAAUUUUGCCACGUGCAACUUAGAUCUAGACACCAUAGUUUUACCUCUAGAUCGUAUUUCUGCGGAGCUCGGGCGGAGCCCUGCAGGAGUAGAUCCUUCACCACCACCGGAGCGCCGUCACGCUGCCGGAGAACUCGUCUACUUCUCCGUCUUGCUUGCUGGAUCAAUAAGGCCAAGAUCAUCGUCGAGCUGUACGUGUGCUGAACGCGGAGGUGUCGUCCGUUCGGCACUAGAUCGGCACGGAUCGUGGGACGGAUCGCGGGAUGGUCCGUGGGACGGUUCGCGGGGCGGAUCGAGGGACGUGAGGAUGUUCCACUACACCAAUCGCGUUUCUUAACGCUUCCUGCUUUGCGAUCUACAAGGGUACGUAGAUCCAAAUCUCCUCUCGUAGAUGGACAUCACCAUGAUAGGUCUUCGUGUGCGUAGGAAAUUUUUUGUUUCCCAUGCAACGUUCCCCAACAGAAGCGUCGUCGGGGCGCAGGGGUAAAUGGGGAGGUGCGGUCGACGACGCUAGCGGAUGGAUCCGGCGUUUGGUGGAAGUCGCGCGCGAGUCAUCGUUGUCAAGCGUGCGGGGUCGGGCGCACAAAAUAAGCGACGCGCGAUGUCGUUUUGCUCCAUGCGCUGAACCAACUAUAGAUCCAUAGGACAUCAGCAAAAUAAAACAUACAACUCAAACCAAUCAAGAUCAUCAAUCAACCCAAAGGACAAACAAAAUCUACUCAAACGUCAUAGGGUGGCAAAACAUCAUUGGAUAAUAAUAUGUGGCAUAAAGCAACAUGUUGAAGUAUGGGAUUACAACGGUAUGGAGGAGAGUGGACUAUUGGAAAUAGGACCUUGAGGCAAUAAUAAAUUACUUAUUACUAUAUUUCCUUGUUCAUGAUAUUCGUUUUUAUCCAUGCUAGAAUUGUAUUGCUUGGAAACUCAAAUACAUGUGUGGAUACAUGGACAACACACUGUCCCUACUGAGCCUCUAAAGGACUUGCUCGUUCAUCAAAGAUGGUCAAGGUUUCCUGACCAUAGACAUAUGUGCUCAUUUGAUAACGGGAUCACGUCAUUAGGAGAAUGAUGUGAUGGACAAGACCCAAACUAUAAACGUAGCAUAUGAUUGUGUCAGUUUAUUGUUACUGUUUUCUGCAUGUCAAGUAUGUGUUCCUACGACCAUGAUAUCACGCAACUCCCGGACAUCGGAGGAAUGCCUUGUGUGUAUCAAACGUCACAACAUAACUGGGUGACUAUAAAGGUGCUCUAGAGGUAUCUCCAAGGGUGUCCGUUGGGUUGGCAUGAAUCGAGAUUGGGAUUUGUCAUUCCGUAUGACGAAGAGGUAUCUCUAGGGCCCACUCGAUAAUACAACAUCACAAUGAGCUUGCAAGAAAUGUGACUAAGGAGUUAGUCAUGGGAUCUUGUAUUAUGGAACGAGUAAAGCGACUUGUCGGUGAUGAGAUUAAACCACGUAUGGAGAUACCAAUGAUCAAAUCUCGGGCAAGUAACAUACCGAUGGACAAAGGGAACAUUAUACAAGAUUGAUUGAAUCCUUGACAUCGUGGUUCGACUGAUAAAGAUCUUCGUAGAAUAUGUAGGAGCUAAUAUGGGCAUCCAGGUCCCGCUAUUGAUUAUUGACCGGAGAGUGUCUCACGUCAUGUCUGCAUAGUUCUCGAACCCGCACGGUCUGCACACUUAAGGUCAGUGACGAUUUGGUAUUGUUGAGUUAUGAAUGAUGGUGACCGAAGGUUAUUCGGAGUCCUGGAUGA